Amphibalanus amphitrite is the source of this 389-nucleotide long non-coding RNA. RefSeq lists it as uncharacterized. The transcript is spliced from 3 exons. Lineage: Eukaryota; Metazoa; Arthropoda; Thecostraca; Balanomorpha; Balanidae. The record is from RefSeq and is a predicted model, not a curated record.
GCCCACCACCAGCGGGCGUUGACGGAGGCGGGUGUGCGGCUCUGGCGCAGCUGAGCCGUCGACCGCCGGAGCCAAUCCGGCAGUCCGGCAUUUCAGCUGCCGCACACUCGCCCGUCACAGGAUCAGAGGCCUCCCGAGACAGCCAUCACGAUCAGCUGGUGUAGGCCAUCCACGACAGAUGAGUGCUAUACAAGCCUGCCUCCGCCGUGCUUGGAGAGCUGACUCACCCAACGGCCGUUUGUGCCGCCACCAAUCGGCUGCGAGUAGCACACACCGAGUGCUACUCGGGGCCGGAUGGCCGCCGUGUCUUCCCUCAGGACAUGGUGGGCUCUGCACUACCUGAGGGGUCUCGGGCGAUAACAGAGACGCAGUCCGAUGUGGCAGCCUCC